This 126-nucleotide small nucleolar RNA is filed under the name Equus asinus (donkey). RNAcentral's name for it is "Small nucleolar RNA SNORA28 (ENSEASG00005004091.2, ENSEASG00020017531.1)". It matches the Rfam family "Small nucleolar RNA SNORA28". From Rfam's summary of the family: ACA28 is a member of the H/ACA class of snoRNA that guide the sites of modification of uridines to pseudouridines. RNAcentral also lists the same sequence under 1 other name. Lineage: Eukaryota; Metazoa; Chordata; Mammalia; Perissodactyla; Equidae. The record is from Rfam by way of RNAcentral.
AAGCAACACUCUGUGGCAGAUGAUUGAAAAUGUCUGACACAAUUUGAGCUUGCUAUAGCAAGAAAGUCUAACCUAUUCCGGUGUUCUCUUCUCCGUGAGACGAGCCGUUAUAUAGACUCAAACAGU